GACGAACGCUGGCGGCGUGCCUAAUACAUGCAAGUCGAACGCAGUGGGGACGGGUGAGUAACACGUGGGUAACCUCCCAUCAGAGGGGAUAACACUUGGAAACAGGUGCUAAACCGAUACUGAUGGAUGGACCCGCGGUGCAUUAGCUAGUUGGUGAGGUAACGGCUCACCAAGGCCACGAUGCAUAGGCGACCGGAGAGGGGCGACGGCCAAACUGGGAAUGAGAAACGGGCCAGACUCCUUCGGGAGGGAGAAGUAGGGGAUCUUCGGCAAUUGACGAAAGUCUUACCGGGCAACGCCGCGGGAAUGAAGGAGGUUUUCGGAUCGUAAAGCUCUGGUGUUAAGGAAGCGGUACUUAACCAGAAAGGGACGGCUAACUACGUGCCAGCAGCCGCGGUAAUUC
Molecule: ribosomal RNA, 403 nt
Filed under: uncultured bacterium
Lineage: Bacteria
Description: partial 16S ribosomal RNA
Rfam family: Bacterial small subunit ribosomal RNA
Source: RNAcentral